This 330-nucleotide ribosomal RNA is filed under the name uncultured Oscillospiraceae bacterium. RNAcentral's name for it is "partial 16S ribosomal RNA". Lineage: Bacteria; Bacillati; Bacillota; Clostridia; Eubacteriales; Oscillospiraceae. The record is from RNAcentral.
GGAGUCUGGGCCGUAUCUCAGUCCCAAUGUGGCCGUUCAACCUCUCAGUCCGGCUACUGAUCGUCGACUUGGUGGGCCGUUACCUCACCAACUAUCUAAUCAGACGCGAGCCCAUCCUUCAGCAAUAAAUCUUUGGUAUACCGAAGAUGCCUCCAAUAUACGUUAUGCGGUAUUAGCAGCCGUUUCCAGCUGUUGUCCCCCACUGAAGGGCAGGUUGCUCACGUGUUACUCACCCGUCCCGCCACUAAGUCAAAGAAUCCAUUGGCCGAAGCCUCUUUCAUCAGUGCUUCGUUCGACUUGCAUGUGUUAGGCACGCCGCCAGCGUUCAUC